This 379-nucleotide ribosomal RNA is filed under the name uncultured eukaryote. Its description in RNAcentral is "partial 18S ribosomal RNA". It matches the Rfam family "Eukaryotic small subunit ribosomal RNA", at positions 592 to 976 of the family's 1831-position model. The record is from RNAcentral.
CAAUAGCGUAUAUUAAAGUUGUUGCGGUUAAAAAGUUCGUAGUUGGAUUUCUGCUGGAUUUGGUCGGUCCGUGCCAUGCACGAGUAUCUGUCCGGGCCCGGCAUCCUCGCGGAUCACGCUCCUGUGCUUUACUGCAUGGGUCGGAGUUCGCGACUUUUACUUUGAGGAAAUUAGAGUGUUCACGGCAGGCUAUCGCCAUGAAUAUAUUAGCAUGGAAUAAUAAUAUAGGACCUUGGUUCUAUUUUGUUGGUUUCUAGGGCUAAGGUAAUGAUUAAUAGGGACAAUUGGGGGCAUUCGUAUUAACGCGUCAGAGGUGGAAUUCUUGGAUUGCGUUACGACGAACUACUGCGAAAGCAUUUGCCAAGGAUGUUUUCAUUGA